UACGAGGGGGGCGAGCGUUGUUCGGAAUUAUUGGGCGUAAAGGGUGCGUAGGCGGUUUGGUAAGUCUCGUGUGAAAUCUCCGGGCUCAACUCGGAGCCUGCACGAGAAACUGCCGGGCUUGAGUGUGGGAGAGGUGAGUGGAAUUCCUGGUGUAGCGGUGAAAUGCGUAGAUAUCAGGAAGAACACCCGUGGCGAAGGCGGCUCUCUGGAACGCAACUGACGCUGAGACGCGAAAGCGUGGGGAGCAAACAGG
Molecule: ribosomal RNA, 253 nt
Filed under: uncultured bacterium
Lineage: Bacteria
Description: partial 16S ribosomal RNA
Rfam family: Bacterial small subunit ribosomal RNA
Source: RNAcentral